GCGGCGUGGCUAAUACAUGCAAGUCGAGCGGACUUUCAUUGGUGCUUGCACCUUUGAAAGUUAGCGGCGGACGGGUGAGUAACACGUGGGUAACCUACCCUGUAGAUUGGGAUAACUCCGGGAAACCGGGGCUAAUACCGAAUAACACUUUUGACCUCAUGGUCGAAUGUUAAAAGACGGUUUCGGCUGUCACUACAGGAUGGGCCCGCGGCGCAUUAGCUAGUUGGUGAGGUAACGGCUCACCAAGGCAACGAUGCGUAGCCGACCUGAGAGGGUGAUCGGCCACACUGGGACUGAGACACGGCCCAGACUCCUACGGGAGGCAGCAGUAGGGAAUCUUCCACAAUGGACGAAAGUCUGAUGGAGCAACGCCGCGUGAGUGAAGAAGGAUUUCGGUUCGUAAAACUCUGUUGCAAGGGAAGAACAAGUAGCGUAGUAACUGGCGCUACCUUGACGGUACCUUGUUAGAAAGCCACGGCUAACUACGUGCCAGCAGCCGCGGUAAUACGUAGGUGGCAAGCGUUGUCCGGAAUUAUUGGGCGUAAAGCGCGCGCAGGUGGUUUCUUAAGUCUGAUGUGAAAGCCCACGGCUCAACCGUGGAGGGUCAUUGGAAACUGGGAAACUUGAGUGCAGAAGAGGAUAGUGGAAUUCCAAGUGUAGCGGUGAAAUGCGUAGAGAUUUGGAGGAACACCAGUGGCGAAGGCGACUAUCUGGUCUGUAACUGACACUGAGGCGCGAAAG
This 741-nucleotide ribosomal RNA is filed under the name Solibacillus cecembensis. RNAcentral describes it as "bacterial SSU rRNA". It matches the Rfam family "Bacterial small subunit ribosomal RNA", at positions 39 to 759 of the family's 1533-position model. The record is from RNAcentral. Lineage: Bacteria; Bacillati; Bacillota; Bacilli; Caryophanales; Caryophanaceae.